RNAcentral lists this ribosomal RNA (497 nucleotides) under uncultured bacterium. RNAcentral describes it as "partial 16S ribosomal RNA". It matches the Rfam family "Bacterial small subunit ribosomal RNA", at positions 28 to 507 of the family's 1533-position model. The record is from RNAcentral.
GAUGAACGCUGGCGGCGUGCCUAAUACAUGCAAGUCGAGCGAACAGACGAUGUGCUUGCUCCUCUGACGUUAGCGGCGGACGGGUGAGUAACACGUGGAUCACCUACCUAUAAGACUGGGAUCACUUCGGGAAACCGGUGCUAAUACCGGAUAAUAUAUUGAACCGCAUGGUUCAAUAGUGAACGACGGUUUUGCUGUCACUUAUCGAUGGAUCCGCGUGGCAUUAGCUAGUUGGUAAGGUAACGGCUUACCAGGGCGACGAUGCGUAGCCGACCUGUGAGGGGGAUCGGCCACACGGGAAGUGAGCCACGCUCCAUACUCCUACGGGAGGCAGCAGUAGGGAAUAUUCCGCAAUGGGCGAGAGCCUGACGGAACAAGGCCGCGUGAGUGAUGAAGGUCUUCGGAUCGUAAAACCCUGUUAUGAGGGAAGAACAAAUGUGUAAGUAACUAUGGAGGUCUUGACGGUACCUAAUAAGAAAGCCACGGCUAACUACGUG